RNAcentral lists this ribosomal RNA (407 nucleotides) under uncultured microorganism. Its description in RNAcentral is "bacterial SSU rRNA". It matches the Rfam family "Bacterial small subunit ribosomal RNA", at positions 509 to 917 of the family's 1533-position model. The record is from RNAcentral.
CAGCCGCCGCGGUAAUACGUAGGGGGCGAGCGUUGUCCGGAAUUACUGGGCGUAAAGGGCGUGUAGGCGGGUAAUUAAGUCAGGUGUGAAAGACCAGGGCUUAGCCGUGGGAGUGCAUCUGAAACUGAUUACCUUGAGGGCAGGAGAGGAAAGUGGAAUUCCUAGUGUAGCGGUGAAAUGCGUAGAUAUUAGGAGGAACACCAGUGGCGAAGGCGGCUUUCUGGCCUGUACCUGACGCUGAGACGCGAAAGCGGGGGGAGCAAACAGGAUUAGAGACCCGGGUAGUCCACGCCGUAAACGGUGGGCACUAGGUGUGGGGGGUUAAUCCCUCCGUGCCGAAGCUAACGCAUUAAGUGCCCCGCCUGGGGAGUACGGCCGCAAGGUUGAAACUUAAAGGAAUUGGCGGG